Molecule: ribosomal RNA, 429 nt
Filed under: Bacillota bacterium
Lineage: Bacteria; Bacillati; Bacillota
Description: Firmicutes bacterium partial 16S ribosomal RNA
Rfam family: Bacterial small subunit ribosomal RNA
Source: RNAcentral
UAGGGAAUCUUCGGCAAUGGACGGAAGUCUGACCGAGCAACGCCGCGUGAGUGAAGAAGGUUUUCGGAUCGUAAAGCUCUGUUGUUAGAGAAGAACGUUGGUAGGAGUGGAAAAUCUACCAAGUGACGGUAACUAACCAGAAAGGGACGGCUAACUACGUGCCAGCAGCCGCGGUAAUACGUAGGUCCCGAGCGUUGUCCGGAUUUAUUGGGCGUAAAGCGAGCGCAGGCGGUUCUUUAAGUCUGAAGUUAAAGGCAGUGGCUUAACCUUGGUACGCUUUGGAAACUGGAGGACUUGAGUGCAGAAGGGGGGAGUGGAAUUCCAUGUGUAGCGGUGAAAUGCGUAGAUUUAUGGAAGGACACCGGUGGCGAAAGCGGCUCUCUGGUCUGUAACUGACGCUGAGGCUCGAAAGCGUGGGGAGCAAACAGG